Long non-coding RNA from Melanotaenia boesemani (Boeseman's rainbowfish), 165 nucleotides. RefSeq lists it as uncharacterized. Lineage: Eukaryota; Metazoa; Chordata; Actinopteri; Atheriniformes; Melanotaeniidae. The record is from RefSeq and is a predicted model, not a curated record. The transcript has 2 exons.
UUGAAACAUUAAUUUAUUUUCUGUUCCGCUUCGUCCAGUUCAGGGUUGAGAGGAAGCUGGAGCCUCUCCCAGCAAUAAGCAGGCGAGAGACAGGUACGCCUGGACAGGCCGCCAGCCCGUCGCAGAUAAGAGAAACAGAAAAGUAAAAUAAAAUAAAAUAAAAUA